UAUAACAAAUGUGGAUGUGUCAUUUGGUGGAGCAACACACAUGAUGCUUAUAUUUGGAGAGAUUAGAAGCCACUUGGAAGGUCUCCAGAAUGAAACAGUUUAUCUGUUAGGUGACUCUGGGUAUGCUCUAAGGGGCAUAUGAUGAUACCUAUACAUAAAGCUGUUGAAGAUUCUCUUGAAGGCAGAUACAACUUUGCAGAGCUUUGUUAGUGCACAUUUUAGAAAGGAAUAGGUAGAACAAAGUUCUACUCAAGCACAUCAUAACAUGCUCCAGAAGAACUAUGUUUAUUGAUUUUAAGAAUUUGACAUGAUGUUAUUUCUUUCCUUUAGAGUUAAAUAAAAGAAUAAAUUAUAUACCUA
Molecule: long non-coding RNA, 360 nt
Organism: Helicoverpa zea (corn earworm)
Lineage: Eukaryota; Metazoa; Arthropoda; Insecta; Lepidoptera; Noctuidae
Exons: 2
Source: RefSeq, a predicted model, not a curated record